AGUGAACGCUGGCGGCGUGCUUAACACAUGCAAGUCGAACGAGAACGGAACUAGCUUGCUAGUUUGUCAGCUAAGUGGCGCACGGGUGAGUAAUAUAUAGUUAACCUGCCUCAAAGAAGGGAAUAAUUGUUGGAAACGACUUGUAAUGCCCUAUAUGCCUUUAUUACAUAAGUAAGCAAGGGAAACAUUUAUGGCUUUGAGAUGGGACUGUACGGUAUCAGUUUGUUGGUGAGGUAAUGGCUCACCAAGACUAUGACGCCUAACUGGUUUGAGAGGAUGAUCAGUCACACUGGAACUGAGACACGGUCCAG
This 311-nucleotide ribosomal RNA is filed under the name uncultured Arcobacter sp. Its description in RNAcentral is "bacterial SSU rRNA". It matches the Rfam family "Bacterial small subunit ribosomal RNA", at positions 29 to 334 of the family's 1533-position model. Lineage: Bacteria; Pseudomonadati; Campylobacterota; Epsilonproteobacteria; Campylobacterales; Arcobacteraceae. The record is from RNAcentral.